Molecule: ribosomal RNA, 497 nt
Filed under: uncultured bacterium
Lineage: Bacteria
Description: partial 16S ribosomal RNA
Rfam family: Bacterial small subunit ribosomal RNA
Source: RNAcentral
GAUGAACGCUGGCGGCGUGCCUAAUACAUGCAAGUCGAGCGAACGGACGAGAAGCUUGCUUCUCUGAUGUUAGCGGCGGACGGGAGAGUAACACGUGGAUAACCUACCUAUAAGACUGGGAUAACUUCGGGAAACCGGAGCUAAUACCGGAUAAUAUUUUGAACCGCAUGGUUCAAAAGUGAAAGACGGUCUUUCUGUCACUUAUAGAUGGAUCCGCGCUGCAUUAGCUAGUUGGUAAGGUAACGGCUUACCAAGGCAACGAUGCAUAGCCGACCUGAGAGGGUGAUCGGCCAGACUGGAACAGAGACACGGUCCAGACUCCUACGGGAGGCAGCAGUCGGGAAUCUUCCGCAAUGGGCGAAAGCCUGACGGAGCAACGCCGCGUGAGUGAUGAAGGUCUUCGGAUCGUAAAACUCUGUUAUUAGGAAAGAACAUAUGUGUAAGUACCUGUGCUCAUCUUGACGGUACCUAAUCAGAAAGCCACGGCUAACUACGUG